UUACACUGAAACACCGGUUCCCAUAUGAUCACCGAAGUUAAGCAACGUCGAGCCUGGUCAUUACCUAGGUGGGUAACCGCUAGGGAAUACCAGGUGAUGUAA
Molecule: non-coding RNA, 102 nt
Organism: Acanthosepion pharaonis
Lineage: Eukaryota; Metazoa; Mollusca; Cephalopoda; Sepiida; Sepiidae
Source: the annotation of a GenBank genome assembly